Molecule: ribosomal RNA, 138 nt
Filed under: uncultured eukaryote
Lineage: Eukaryota
Description: partial 18S ribosomal RNA
Rfam family: Eukaryotic small subunit ribosomal RNA
Source: RNAcentral
UGGUGGAGCGAUUUGUCUGGUUAAUUCCGAUAACGAACGAGACUCUAGCCUACUAAAUAGUGUGAAGAUCAUCAAGUAGUCUUCAUUACUUCUUAGAGGGACUGAUGGCGCUUAGCCAUACGAAAUUGAGCAAUAACA